This 242-nucleotide ribosomal RNA is filed under the name uncultured bacterium. Its description in RNAcentral is "partial 16S ribosomal RNA". It matches the Rfam family "Bacterial small subunit ribosomal RNA", at positions 99 to 334 of the family's 1533-position model. The record is from RNAcentral.
CGCACGGGUGAGUAACACGUGGGUAAUCUACCCUUCGCGGGGGACAACAACUGGAAACGGUUGCUAAUACCGCAUACGACUGGAGACUCCUCUACGGGGGCGUUUUCAGAGAAAGGCUUCGGCCACCGAAGGAUGAGCCCGCGUCCCAUCAGCUUGUUGGUGAGGUAAUGGCUCACCAAGGCUAAGACGGGUAGCUGGUCUGAGAGGAUGAUCAGCCACACUGGGACUGAGACACGGCCCAG